ACAUCCCAGUCUGCUGGUCAUGACCUUGUUGACACCAUGUAGAGAAAGCAAAGAGGGAGAAGCCUUCCGCCCAUAAUACCAGAACUAGAGCUAUCCUAUGGAGCUGGAUGUUGGGAGAUUUAGGACAGACAAAAGAAAGUACUUCUUUAACUCAUUCCCACAAGAUGUAAUGAGUGCCCCCAACAUUAAAAAAGGAUUAGAUCAAUUCCCGGAGGAUAAGGCUUUCAAGACGGUUUAGUUUGUCUCACCCUUGGCUUGCGCAGAGCAAUUCUCGUCCUGCAGUAAGUAUCCCUUGUUCCUUUACAGGGCAAACCCUACAACUCUCUGAGCCUUUUUUUGAAAAAGGGUCACGUAUUUGUUAUUGAACUCUAAAGAUCAUAUUUAUAAAAGGAGGAUAUGUGCCUAAAGUAAAUAAUAAGGCAUUCACUUAGAUGCAGUUGGAUUUAUAAUAUUAUAUUAAAUUGGAGUUAGGGUAUUUUCACAAAUCAGAUUUUGAACCAAAGCAGCAAACGUAAUGGACGAGGUUGUCAAAGAAGCAAAAGUUAACAGCAUGUAAUGGAAUAGAUGUACUAAAUUAGCAUUGACAUCUCUUAGUGGCUCUCUUAAAUAUACAUUAUUAUCUGGAGAAAAUGAAUCCUAUAUACUUGUCGUGAGCUUGUUGCACAUCCAUAUUUCAAGGGCACACUUUUAAGAAUUUUUUUUUUUACUCAUUGGAAAAAGGCACUGUUAGGCUGUAUUCAUUUAGCUUGAAUUUUCUGUUUUGGAUUAUUAUUUUAUUUUGUUUUUGUUUAAAGACACCCCCCCCGCUCCUUUUCCCCCAACAGAAAGCCUGAUACAAUACUGUACUGGGAAACAGUUUUAAGCCUCAGUUGGUUUCAGUAUCAGUUGAUGAAUGGGAUUUGUCAGAACAGUCAAAAUUCGCUGACAAAAACAAAAUAUUCAGUGAUGAGAACAAUGAAAUGUUCAAUAAAUACAUUGGGAAAAUGAAGGAUGGGCAAGAGCACCAGGGCAAAGAACAGAUUUUUGCACAGAGAGGCAAAUCAACAAUCCUCUUAAUUGGCACGGAGCCAGUAAAUUAAAUGGGUGCAUUUCCUUCCUAGCCCCUUGCUUGGAUGGUCGUAGCUAGGCUGCUGUUUUUCUGGGCAAGCAGGCUGUGUGUGUGUACAUGCACACACACAUAUUGGGGUGUGUCUCUUUUCUGCCCAUUGUGGAGGUGGGGAGCUAUUGGCUCCAUCCUCCUCGGCUCUUGGCUGAAUGUACGGAUGGCUUGUGGGUAGGUGGGGCAAAGCAAGUGUCUUUUUAGGUCAUUGCAUUAAGGUUUAGCAUGGUGGAGGCUUCAAAUGUUCAUCUGGCCAAUUUCAGUAUUUGGGGGCAGGGAAUCAACUUUGUUUUUCAGGAAAAGAGCCUAGGGAAUUCAACUCCAUACUCCUAUCCACCCUUGCCCCAUCACUGGUGGUCAGAUCAGUAGAGUCACUGCAAUAAAGUAAAUAUUCUUUAUAUCUCACAAGCUUCAAAGACCGUUUUCUCACCAUAUAAAACACACACACAGAGUGUUGUAGAGCAGAGGCUCUGUCUGCAAAGUGCAAGUCAACAACACAGCAACAUUCAUGGUCAUAUGAGUCUGGCGCCAGGGUCAGAAUGAUACCCUUCAGUAAAUGGACUGAUGAUAUGAUAUCACUGGCAAUUUAUGAACGGACUGCUUACAGACGCAGGCUCUGUAUGGAUAAAUACGAUAAUAUUUGGCAUGUACAAAAUGUAGUAAGCUAUUAACAUUUACAAAAGCUCUAGGACGAUAACACUAUACCAAUUGAUACAAGAAUGUAUGGGAAUAUCGUAUAUUGCUUUUUGGGGGUUAUAUUUUUGCUUUUAUAUGUAUCUCUGUUGUUGUUUUUCUGCCUCUCACUUUUCCUUCUUUUUCCCCUGUAUCAUUUUAUUUCUUUUAACUGAAGUCACCUUGAUAAAAUAUAAAUUAUUGUUUUUUAAUGAUUCUGGCGCCAAUGACCAUACCCAAAAGGUGUUUCCAGACUGUCACUAUUUUCCAGGGUGGGUGGGGAAAUUCAAUCACAUACCAGCAAGCUCAGAUUGUGAAAUUAUAGUUGAGUGAGAGCUCUUGUGCAAGUAAACCACCCUCAAAAGAUCAGACUUUUUUUCUUAGCAAGAAGGAAAGCCACACUAGAACCUGCUCUGUUUGGUAGUGGGCUUGCAUUUGGUGCCGCAUUUAAACUGAGAACAGGACGCAAGCUUUCCAGCAGGCAUGGAACAUGAUGUCAGGUGAUGGGCAGGUAGGCAGUCCUGCCCAUCUGUCAAAAGUGACCUAUGGAAGGGUGGCUACUUUGGGAUCCAGCCUACCAUAUCAAAGUGGUCCCCCACUUUUCCUGCCCUAUUUUGACUGGCAUUGGCUUGCCAGAGUUUCAGUCCAAAGUAUUUUCAAAUCCAACUAGGGAUCAAACCUGCGAUCUUCUGUUUCCAGAGCAUGUGCUCUCAUCUCUAUCUAUCUAUCAUCUAUCUAUCAUCUAUCUAUCUAUCUAUCUAUCUAUCUAUCUAUCUAUCUAUCUAUCAUCUGUCUAAUCUAUCUAUCAUCUAUCUAACCUAUCUAUCAUCUAUCUAUUUCUGUCUAUAUCUAUCUAUCAUCUAUCUCAGCAGUAACAUGAGGUCAAGUAUAUGGGUGUGUCUAUGGGAUUGGACCAGAACUUCUCAAUAACCAAGGCAAAACUUUGAAAUAUUUUUGAAAAGGAAACAGAAAAUAAGUUUUUUUUUUUUUAAUGGAACGCUUCACAAAUUUGCGUGUCAUCCUUGUGCAGGGGCCAUGCUAAUCCUCUCUGUAUUGUUCCAAUUUUAGUAUAUGUGCUGCCGAAGCGAGCACGAAACAGAAAAUAAGUUCAGGCAUAGAGAAGAUGAUAGGCAAACCAAAGUCAUAUGAAAAAAUGAAAGAAUUGUCCAGUAGCACCUUAGAGAUCAACUAAGUUUGUUCUGGGUAUAAGCUUUCAUGUGCAUGCACACUUCUUCAGAUGCACAUGAAAGCUUAUACCCAGAACAAAUUUAGUUGGUCUCUAAGGUGCUACUGGACUAUUUUUUAAUUUAUUUCAACUGCGUCAGACCAACACGGCUACCUACCUGAAUUCAAUGUCAAAUGAGUUUAGCUAUGCAUUGAUUUAGUGUUAGAGAUGUAAAAUGUAAAAUACAGACCAGGUACUCCCAAGCUUGAAAGGCUUGGUAGUUAGGAGGUGAUCCUUGCAACUUGGAGGGCCUAGACCAAAAUGAGUCUUAAUGCACAUAUAGUCAUGGAGAGUUUGAGGAAGUUAGAGGAAUGGCAGGGACUUUGUGGCUCAAAUGAUGAUGAAAGACCCAGUCAGCUGGGACAAGCUAGCAACAUUUUCCUAUGCACAACCCCAUGUGUGCCAGAACCUCCAGAGGGAGACAUCUGGCAAAUCUGUUUUUGUUUUCAUGUUGCGUCUCAGAAUAUCUGCAAGCUGACUCUGAUCAAUGAAAUUGUGGAAUCUUUACUUCUAAUGAUUGCUAACGGAAAGCUACAGAAGAACAUCAGGAUCAGUUUUGCGUUCGUUGCUUUAUUUUGAAAAUGCAAACCAUCAACUGUUGAGAAGAAAAUUGGCUGUUUCCUUGCAAUUAACGCUCAAUUAUCCAGCAAUAAGAUUUUUUGAUAGUAAUUUAGAGCCUUGAUAGCCAAGGAUUAAAUCUCUAAAUUACCCCGAUGAAAUGUCUAGCUUUUAAUUUUUAAUUGUAGAUGGUACGAAAAGGGGGGAAAGCCACACGAAUGCAGACAAUUUCAAGAGGAGACCUGUCGUUUUAAAUAACUCCAUUGACUCCUGGGAGCUGAGGCUGUUGUCAAAACAUAAUAACUUGGGGGUUGGGGAGAGAAAAGUCAGGCAAUGCAUAUUUAUAAACAGGGAAAUCAUUUUCAGCUGAAGGCUGGUCUCUAGAGAUCACCACACUUUCACUGCAAAACAACUCUUGCUCAAAUCCGAUAUGACCUCAGAGCUCUCUGCUGUCCUAGCAUUGUACCCUUAUCUGUUAAGAUGCUAAUUUCUUCCCCUUUGACCGCAGGAACUGAUUCCGAAGACACUAAAGCAAGGCAAAGUGAUUAAGCAUAUAAUUAUUGGACAACUGACAUCAUCCAGUGGCAGAGUUCAUAUUUACCUGAGCUUUUUCCAGUUGUCUUUCCUAUUAUUAAUGGAUUCAAAAAGCUCUUUUGUAUCAUGAAUGACCUGACUUGGGUGAUCCACACAGGCAGUGCUUCACAUGCUCACUCCUCCAAGAAGCAAAGAGAAGAAGAAAAUGCCAAAUUUUGGUGCUAAUAGAUCCUUUUUCUUUUUGAGGGAGGGGGCAUGCUUGAUUAUUAUUUGAUGAUACAUGCUAGCAC
Molecule: long non-coding RNA, 4378 nt
Filed under: Podarcis lilfordi (Lilford's wall lizard)
Lineage: Eukaryota; Metazoa; Chordata; Lepidosauria; Squamata; Lacertidae
Source: RNAcentral